Astatotilapia calliptera (eastern happy) is the source of this 1593-nucleotide long non-coding RNA. The record is from Ensembl. Lineage: Eukaryota; Metazoa; Chordata; Actinopteri; Cichliformes; Cichlidae.
UGUAUUUCUCUGCAACACCUACUUUUUACAGAUAAAAACUGGGGAUGUGUCACCGUGGCAACCAAGAAAACAGCUUUAAAGGAAGUGCCAACGAUUGUGUCUUAACCCAGACUGUGUCCUGUUUCAUUCCUAACUCUAACCAAUGGUUUUUAAUACUAAAUUUAAUCAAAGCACACAUUUAAACGUUAAAAAAAUUAAUAAUACUUGUGAAGUGAUUUACUCGAGCUCCACCAUCAGCUCCUCCUGUGCCCGCAGCCUUCUCCAGCCUCCAACCAUGAACUGUUUCACCGUUUGAAAGUGGAAAAUCCUGAUUUCAUGAACAUGGAUUGUACAUAUGAGACCGGACGGAUUUAAAGUCAGGGUCAGACUGUCUUCCCGUCUCGGGCACACAGCUCUGGUUGCGAGCAGUGGCAUCCACCCACCUGCUGCUUGGGCCUCCUGUUUGAGAGGGGCGGCCUAUCAGAAGAACGUUGGUUUAAACUGUGAGGACAUAAACAGCUCACAUGAGAAAGAAGAUGAACUGAGAUUCCACGUCAAGUAUUUCUGUUUAUGCAUGAACGGCAUGCAUAUUUGCAUUAAAUCCUCUAGCAGAAAGCAGAGAAAUAGUAUGGAAAGAUUUCAUUACCCUCAUGUUCUCAGUUUACCUCUCACUCCUCAUGCUUCCCUCACACCCAAACACUUCUCUUUAUCCCUCCCUCCGCUCUCACAUCACAACCUGUCUGUGGAUGAAGUGACAGAGUGUGAACAAAAGAAAACAGCCUUCCACCGAGACCGAGAGAGAGACCCUCCUGUGCAAGAGAAGUAGGACAGGAAACGUGAGGACAGUGAACAUCUGCUUUCCACCCGAUGGAAAAGGACCUCCCUCUUCCUUCUCCUUUCCCCUUAUUACACAUUAUCAAACGAAAGAUAAGAAACACCCAAAAAUACAGGUGAGUUAUCAAAGCAACCUGGGCUGUGAGUAACACCCCAGCAGCUACAAGCUGAGCACCUCUGUGCCAAACCACACUGAUGCAGUAAUUCAUGAUAAAGGAGCCACAAAUAAGUAUUGAGUGUGUAAAUGAAAAUACUUUUUAGAAGUUAUAGAUAUAUUUAUAUCGAAUAAAAACAUGUCAAAAGUAUGGCCUGGGGACAAAAGUGAUCUGCCAAGAGUUCCACAACCCGACCUGCUGGGGGCUUUGCUAAAGGGCAGUAAAUCAGCUUAGAUGACAGUUUAGUUUUCUGUGAAUUUUACAGGAAAUCAUGGAGCAGACUGCCAGUACUUUUUCUAUCAUUUUACAGAUCUGUUUCGUAGACUAUAAACUCGUGGAGACAUGCUGAUGUGUCUCUAUUAUGGUCAUUUGUGCAGAUAAGUGCUUGACAAUAGGCAAUCUCGUACACACGCACACCUUCAUACACCACGUUACUUUUUGCAUAAUGCUCAGUAUUUUGCACCUUUCUAUUGUCUCGUGUCUGUGUCGUUCUGUUCUGUCUGCUGUUGCACAGUGUUUGUUUUGGGGGUUUUGCAAUUUUUGCACUUUGCACUUUAUGUAGUCCUGUGUAGAUUGUCUGUUAUAUGUCACAUGUAGCACCGCGGUCUUGGAGGAACGUUGUCUC